CUGAUUUCAGAGGAGGAACGGAUUUCCUGUCCAAAGCCUCCAAGCCACCCUCUUCCCAGACUUGGAAAAUAGUGGGCCAGAUCAGUCACCCAAGAUGAGAACACCAGUGGCCCUCGCUUUGGGCGAACCAUGAGACUGCGGCCACAAAUUGUUAAGUAUUCAGUCUGAGGACAUGUAAGAGAACGAAGUCAAUGCCCCAAAAUAAAUAGGGUCCAGUUUGUGGAUGUGACUUUGUGGUCAAAGAAGCUUUGUAGAGACUUAAUCAUCUGAUUUCAGGGAUGUCUGUGCUGGAGAAGACCUCAGAGAUCGGACCAUCUUCAAAUGAGGGAGAAGCUGGCCCAUGAAGGGGGCUGCCUGCCAUCGCCAGACCAGUGGGUACCGGAUUCAAGUCUCGGGUUUUCCUGCUGUCUGCGGGACAUGUUCUCCCAGGCUGUGCGGGCUGCCGGAGACACCACAGAGGGCUCUGACGACUUUUGGAAGAGAAGGCAGGAACGAUAGCUGCCCCACCAAAAAAGACAGUCAUCCAUCCUUUCUGGAUUAAUGCAUGCUAAGUAUUUCCAUGUUUUCCCACAACAACAUCACGGUGCCUGGAUUCUCACUCUGUGCGUGGCUGUGCCCGGCUCCCAGCACUAGCUCUGCCCCAUGACCAGGUCUGGGAAAGCUACACGGGAACUGCUCCUGAUGCAAGGCUCCUGAAACUCUUGUCAUUUCCUAAGUGCCAAGAACACCAGGAACAUCUCUUGUUGCGAUAGUCAGUCUUCAAGACCAUCUCUGACACAGGGCUCCUGAUGCCUUGUGUAUUCCUAAAUGCAUGAGUGUCUAGAAGUGGAAUUGCGUUUGUCAAGGAGAUAGAGAGAAGCUGAGCUGGAGGAAGCGGCUGAGGCCUGUGAAGGGAGGAGCACCGAGCAGGGCUCUGCCAAGUCCUGCUUCUGAGGGGAUGACGUCACCUUCCCUGAAGGCUACGCUGCCUCUGAACAAGCUUCUUGUGAACAGACUCUGAUGUCCCGUUGUCUGCGCAGCUCCAAGCUGUCGUUCCUUUAAGAUCCUGCUCUCCAUGACUUCUGUGCAUUGUUACUUCCAAAUCACGGAGUGGUCAAGGUGCUUGUUCGGCUCACAGGUGGCAAUGGCCCAGCCAGGAUUCCAUCCUGACGAUCUGAAUCCAGAAUCUACACUCUUAACUGCUGCAGGUUACUGCUUCUCAUAAAAGGCCGGGAAGCUCUGGAUUAGAUUAUGAGACCUACUUCCUUCCCUGUGAUGUGAUUCAGCUUUGCAAGGACGGCAGCUCCUAGUCUGGCCUGCUCUGUGUGAGGCGAGGCCCCGAGAGCUUUGAAGGUGCUACCUCUGUGACUCCAAGAGUUCACACCCCCUCUCUCCUGUAGACAGUAUCAAGACGUACGUUCUAUUACUAGAUAUUCCAAAUUUGAACUUCGUUGAUCAUUUGUGAAAAUAUGCUAUAGUUUCACCUCUGAAUUUUGUCAGGAUGAUCUCCUUAAGUGGGAUGUUAAAAUGCUUCCUUCUGGAUGGACCUUUCUCUUGUCAUCAUGGAAACUACAUGGUUCUCUCCUGUUUCUAGCAGAUCACAUUAUGGAGGAAAUUCCCUUGGAAAAGCUCCUAAGUCUAGGUUUUGCCAAAAUAAAAGUAUUUUA
This is a long non-coding RNA of Ailuropoda melanoleuca (giant panda), 1646 nucleotides long. RefSeq lists it as uncharacterized. The transcript is spliced from 5 exons. The record is from RefSeq and is a predicted model, not a curated record. NCBI's taxonomy places the organism in Eukaryota, Metazoa, Chordata, Mammalia, Carnivora, Ursidae.